This 28-nucleotide small RNA is filed under the name Bombyx mori (domestic silkworm). RNAcentral's name for it is "ovarian small RNA-30603". Lineage: Eukaryota; Metazoa; Arthropoda; Insecta; Lepidoptera; Bombycidae. The record is from RNAcentral.
UGAAAUGAUAAAUCUGCCACAAUAUCAG